CGCUGCACUUCCUGUUCUGACUCUAACAGCACCAGCAAAAGCUUUCACUGUGUCAGUGGAGUUUCCACAGUGGCUCAGCUCUGCACAGAGAUGGACAGCAGGGUUCAAGGUGGUAAAGCAUACGGUGUCCUCAAGUCUCAUCAGGAAGAAAAACUGAACUCUGUUAAUGAGGCCUUUCUUUCAGAUCCCCAAUAUGCAGAAGAGGAAGAGCUUGCGUCGAAACUUGAAAUGUUUAAAAAAAAAUACAUGGAGUUUGAUUUGAAUGACAAAGGAGAAA
Molecule: non-coding RNA, 277 nt
Organism: Paralichthys olivaceus (Japanese flounder)
Lineage: Eukaryota; Metazoa; Chordata; Actinopteri; Pleuronectiformes; Paralichthyidae
Source: RefSeq, a predicted model, not a curated record